CCUGAGGGUUAAUGGGUAAUGGGCGUAGAGGCCAGCCCAGGAGAAGGUACAGCCCUGUCCUCCCCACCGUGGGACUCUCCUGGCCUCCUGUGGACCCACACAGCACUGGCAUCAGGCCAUUUCGCAGAGGAAGAGGAGGGCUCAAAGUGGGGCAGGACUCCGCAAGUGGCUGCCCUCAUUCACAGGGGGCUUCAAGGGUCUUCUACUCCCUCCCUGCAACUCAAAGUGUGGCCCCGGGCCAGGGCACUAGCCGAGCAGGAGCAGGGAACAGUGGCAGAGGCCCCCCCGGCCCCCGGCCCCAUGCCAACCCCCUGCUCUGCUGCAACCUCGACAUCAAAUUUCUACCCAGUCCCCACCUGAUGCAAAGACAUUCGAGGCAGCCAGCGUGCUUCUACAUCCAGUUUAUACACAGCUCUAUACAAUAUACAGAAACCUUUAUAUACAGAUAUAUUUAUAGAAUAAG
Long non-coding RNA from Homo sapiens (human), 463 nucleotides. Ensembl annotates it as MYRF antisense RNA 1. Its record names the gene MYRF-AS1. The record is from Ensembl. NCBI's taxonomy places the organism in Eukaryota, Metazoa, Chordata, Mammalia, Primates, Hominidae.